CGCAAGCCUGACGGAGCAAGACCGCGUGGGGGAGGAAUGCCUUAGGGUUGUAAACCCCUUUUAUCUGGGAAGAACAAAAUGACGGUACCAAAGGAAUCAGCCUCGGCUAACUCCGUGCCAGCAGCCGCGGUAAUACGGAGGAGGCAAGCGUUAUCCGGAAUGAUUGGGCGUAAAGCGUCCGCAGGUGGCAAUGUAAGUCUGCUGUCAAAACCCAGGGCUCAACUCUGGUCAGGCAGUGGAAACUACAUAGCUAGAGUGCCGUAGGGGUAGAGGGAAUUCCCGGUGUAGCGGUGAAAUGCGUAGAGAUCGGGAAGAACAUCGGUGGCGAAAGCGCUCUACUGGACGGCAACUGACACUCAGGGACGAAAGCUAGGGGAGCG
Molecule: ribosomal RNA, 380 nt
Filed under: uncultured cyanobacterium
Lineage: Bacteria; Bacillati; Cyanobacteriota
Description: bacterial SSU rRNA
Rfam family: Bacterial small subunit ribosomal RNA
Source: RNAcentral